UCCGUAGGGUGCGAGCGUUAAUCGGAAUUACUGGGCGUAAAGCGUGCGCAGGCGGUUUUGUAAGCCAGAUGUGAAAUCCCCGGGCUUAACCUGGGAAUGGCAUUUGGGACUGCAAGGCUGGAGUUUGGCAGAGGAGACUGGAAUUCCUGGUGUAGCAGUGAAAUGCGUAGAUAUCAGGAGGAAUACCGAUGGCGAAGGCAGGUCUCUGGGCUAUAACUGACGCUCAUGCACGAAAGCGUGGGGAGCAAACAGG
Molecule: ribosomal RNA, 253 nt
Filed under: uncultured bacterium
Lineage: Bacteria
Description: partial 16S ribosomal RNA
Rfam family: Bacterial small subunit ribosomal RNA
Source: RNAcentral